RNAcentral lists this long non-coding RNA (247 nucleotides) under Prunus persica (peach). Its description in RNAcentral is "long non-coding RNA (PPER_LNC004160)". Lineage: Eukaryota; Viridiplantae; Streptophyta; Magnoliopsida; Rosales; Rosaceae. The record is from RNAcentral.
CCAAAUCUUAGGGUUAUCAUGACGUUGAGUAUGUAUUGGUAAAUAUCCCCAAAAUCGGGUAUGAACUCGUAAGUAACCCUAUAGUUUGGGGGGUUUUUAUAUAGUUUGUCCUAUAAAUUGUUUACAUUUUUUAGUAUAUAUCAUUUUUAUUCAAUAACAUGUGAGAAUUAUGUGUAUAAUACGUGAAUUUUGUGCGUCUUAUUGAAAUUUUUGUAAAAAAUAUGUGUAUUAAACAUGGAAAAAAUAC